GGGAGAGUGGCCGAGUGGUCAAGAGCGACAGACUAUAAAUCUGUUGAAGGUUUUCUACGUAGGUCCGAAUCCUACCUCUCUCA
This 83-nucleotide transfer RNA is filed under the name Gastrodia pubilabiata. Its description in RNAcentral is "tRNA-Tyr". It matches the Rfam family "tRNA". From Rfam's summary of the family: Transfer RNA (tRNA) molecules are approximately 80 nucleotides in length. Their secondary structure includes four short double-helical elements and three loops (D, anti-codon, and T loops). The record is from RNAcentral. Lineage: Eukaryota; Viridiplantae; Streptophyta; Magnoliopsida; Asparagales; Orchidaceae.